GUCAUUGCAUGGAAGCUACAAAUAGCAACUUUUUUAAAGCUAUAUUAAUAUAUAAAUUAUCUAAUCAAACACUUGUUUGAAUAAGUAUCUCAGCCUUACACUGAUCUUAAUUCUCUGCUACCCUAACAAGUCUGAACCGCUGACAAGUUGGCCUUCAAAACAUUUUAUUUCCAAAACUUUGAUGAUAAACUAAAUACUUUUUUUAUCUAAUCAGAUGGAGAAACCAGAUUAAACCAGUAGGCUAUAACAAAAAGUGUUUUAGAAAAACAUUGCAUACUGUCAGGUACAGACGCAGACCGAAAUGACCAGAAAUGAGGUCAACUUAAACAGGUUGGUUUAUUAGAUGUUUUAGCAGGAACACAAUUGAUAAACAGGUAAAUGACAAAUGUGGAGCUAAAUGGUGAGAGUAAAAAAAAUUGGAUAAAUUUCAGUCUUUGUCUUAUAGAGCCGGUUGAGCACACAAACAAACAAGUUGAGACAGAGGACACUUGGAAGACAGGUUGGAAUACCUGCAGGGUUUAAGAUAACUGACAUAAACUUGAACAAGGUAACUGGCGUAGCAAUUGUGGUCAACAGGAUGUAAGAGGUCUGUCGCAUCGAACAAGGCAAUGACUGGGGUGCUUUAAUGCUGGUGAUGAAGGUUGAUCAGCUUCGGGGGUGUGUUGUUAGUGCCAGGGUGCGAUGUGGAACAAACAAUGGUCUUCUCAAAGUCAUAAAAUAAAACUCAAGAAACGGAGUUCCAGAUGCCAAAAUUAGACUUUAUUGAACACAGUUUUUGUCUGUCCGGGCACCCAUAUUUCUACCUCUCUUUCUUACCAUAAUUGGUAGUUCCGUUUUUUUAUUGGCUAUGCCAAUGGCUAUGUCUGGUUUUCCACAAUUUAUUACUUGCCCAGCUGGUCCAUUUUUUAUUGGUGAAACUUGGCCUUAUCAACCAUUUUUAAGAAAACUUUCAUUUUGCCACCUACUACUGGUAGGCAGUGAUCCCAGAACACAUUCAUCAAAUCUGUCAACUUCUGGAACUCACCCAAAGUCAUAGUGUUACUUCAGUUAACAGGUGCAGUUCAAUGGAAAACUAGCAGUACUACCCAAUGGGAGGGCCUUUAUACAGCCAAAGAGUAUUUGGGAAUAAUUCAGCAUAUUGAUCAGUAUAUUGAUUACUUUCAUAGUCAUACAUAAUAGUUUAAACAAGAUAAUACCAUAUUGAGUAAUUAACAUUAUAUAUAUAAUAGAAUAACACAACAUAUUAAGAUGUGAGUAGGCUCUGGCGUAGCAGGCAUGACGUGAACAGGUGCUGGCUUGGCAGACAUGGUGUGAGUAGGCCUUGGCUUGGCUGGCGUGACGUGAACAACUCCUGACAUGACGGUUGGGACGUGGAAAAGUUCUGAUGUGGCGGGUACUGUGGGAUAGCUGUGUUCCUCAUCAGCAAUCCCCACAGUAAAUGAUGAACCAGCCAGGAAAAGAGCAUGGUCAAUAUAUUCCUCCAGGGACCAGUGAAUUUUUCCCCCAGGAAGCUGAGAGCAAAUGGGCUCAUUAAGACCCACCCGAAAUAUGUCCUUAAGGGCCACAUCAUUAAAAUCCACCAGAUGACACAAACCACAAAAGUCCUCCACAUAGUCCUCAAUGGCCUGGUUUCCUUGGCUAAGACGCAGGAGACGAACAACUGCUGGGUUCAUUUUUAGGGUCGUGUAUUCUGUCCACUGAAGGCAAGCGUAGCGAUGAACCCAAGUGCAGUUUUAUUCACAAUGGUACAAUCCAAAAUCCAAAUAUAAUCCAAACAGUAAACAAAGACUUGACUUGACUUGACUUGACUUGACUUGACUUGACUUGACUUGACUUGACUUGACUUGACUUGACUUGACUUACCGAUAGCAGGUUACAACGUUAAUACACGACAAGCGCUAAUGACAAAAACAUGACUACUUAUACAAACAAUGAGGGUCACAUGACAAGAGCAAACCAAUGGGAACAAGACACAUGACUAAAGCAACCAAUGAGAACAAACACAACUGAUAAUCACAUGACCAGACAAUAACCAAUGAGAACAUGACACAUACACAAAGCAGAGCUUCAGUAUGUGAUGUGUUUUCAGUACUAACUUGUGAAUUGAUUAUGUUAGUAGAUUCAUCUCUUUUCUCUGAUGCUAUUUGAAUGAAGCAGCAACCACAACCUGUCACACACAACAUUAAAGAGCAUCAAAACACUGUUUGAACUCCAUGAUAACCUCACACACUCCUUUGGUGUGUUCAUGGAUAUUUAUUUAUUUUAAGCAGAGAGAUGGGUACUAUGCAUUUCUUCUAAAAGAGACUUUGUGUGUUGAAAAGUUAUUUUACAGUUACAAACUAUUUUAUUUUCAAUAUUUGUGUUCAGGACAUGUGUUCUAUUCAUAUUUUCAGUUAGGUUUCAAGUAUAUUUUUUCACCUUUUACCACUGGGCAAUUACAGCACUUAAUUUUAGAAAUUGCCUAAUUUUACAAUUGCCUAAUUAUUUUAGGCAAAGGUGUUUCUGCUUAUGGUUUUUCCUUUUUAUUUUGAGACAUGUUAUUUAUUUAAUGUAAUUAAGUUGAUCAUUUUAAUUUGCAUUUUGAUAAAUUAGUAUGUAUUUUUUUUCUGCAAAUAUUAAGUGUUGCACUAUUCUUGUGCAACUCUUUGUUGUGUGCUGUACAUGCUAUAUAUUCAACAUUUUGAGAUUUGUUUUCUCCUUUACUUUUCUUCAUUUGUAAGAGAAAUAAUUAAUAAUAAAGUGUUUUAUAUGGAAAUACAUGUCUAUUAUUUGGUUGAACUUGCUAGUGUAUCUUACGAAUGUAUAAUUAUUUUAUGACCCCCUGUCAUAAUAUCCAUCAAUCAAAAUGUGAAUCAAUAACAUAAUUCUUACACGUAGGAGCUCUUGUCUUCGGUUCCAUCUCUCUUCUAUCCAGUUCCAUUGCUCUUCUAUCCAGUUCCAUCGCUCUUCUAUCCAGUUCCAUUGCUCUCUGACUGGACUGUAUGAUGAGAGAAUACAUUAAACUUUGUUUCUCAUGGACAUUUACAUUCAUUCAUUCAUUUAGAAAAGCAUGCUUCUAUUCCCUGAAUGUGGAUCUCUUAAUCUCAUCUCUUUAGCUUUUGAAACACAUCUUCAUUUGCACUUCAGGAUAACUAAAAUAUAAAAAUAUUUAAUUUUCUUAUGGCUUUAAUGUUCAAAACCUAUGAUCACACACCAACACACUGCAACAAAUAACAAGCCUUCAUCAGGGUGUUUUUUUUUUGUUGUUGUUUUUUUGGCCUUAUCUUCACUUGUUUAUCUUCAAAUUAAAUUUUUGGCUUCUCAAACUGUGCAUCAGAUUCUUAAGAUUCCAAAACACUCCAGUUGUUUUGUGAAAAAAGUUUAGCCUUAUGCAGUAUCAUUGCAUCAGUUUAAGUAAUUUGUCAGUGAUGUCUUACAUUUUUUUAACAUACAGCAUCCACUAUGAACAAAUGUAAUUUAAUAUUAAAACAACUGAAUUAAUUGUGAAUUACUUUUUAAGUUUAUAAGCUGCAUUAGUUGUUACAAA
Cyprinus carpio carpio is the source of this 3526-nucleotide long non-coding RNA. NCBI's taxonomy places the organism in Eukaryota, Metazoa, Chordata, Actinopteri, Cypriniformes, Cyprinidae. The record is from Ensembl.